CUACCAUGCGAGUCGAGCGGGCGUAGCAAUACGUCAGCGGCAGACGGGUGAGUAACGCGUGGGAACGUACCUUUUGGUUCGGAACAACACAGGGAAACUUGUGCUAAUACCGGAUAAGCCCUUACGGGGAAAGAUUUAUCGCCGAAAGAUCGGCCCGCGUCUGAUUAGCUAGUUGGUGAGGUAACGGCUCACCAAGGCGACGAUCAGUAGCUGGUCUGAGAGGAUGAUCAGCCACAUUGGGACUGAGACACGGCCCAAACUCCUACGGGAGGCAGCAGUGGGGAAUAUUGGACAAUGGGCGCAAGCCUGAUCCAGCCAUGCCGCGUGAGUGAUGAAGGCCCUAGGGUUGUAAAGCUCUUUUGUGCGGGAAGAUAAUGACGGUACCGCAAGAAUAAGCCCCGGCUAACUUCGUGCCAGCAGCCGCGGUAAUACGAAGGGGGCUAGCGUUGCUCGGAAUCACUGGGCGUAAAGGGUGCGUAGGCGGGUCUUUAAGUCAGGGGUGAAAUCCUGGAGCUCAACUCCAGAACUGCCUUUGAUACUGAAGAUCUUGAGUUCGGGAGAGGUGAGUGGAACUGCGAGUGUAGAGGUGAAAUUCGUAGAUAUUCGCAAGAACACCAGUGGCGAAGGCGGCUCACUGGCCCGAUACUGACGCUGAGGCACGAAAGCGUGGGGAGCAAACAGGAUUAGAUACCCUGGGUAGUCCACGCCGUAAACGAUGAAUGCCAGCCGUUAGUGGGUUUACUCACUAGUGGCGCAGCUAACGCUUUAAGCAUUCGCCUGGGGAGUACGGUCGCAGA
Molecule: ribosomal RNA, 797 nt
Filed under: Bradyrhizobium sp.
Lineage: Bacteria; Pseudomonadati; Pseudomonadota; Alphaproteobacteria; Hyphomicrobiales; Nitrobacteraceae
Description: bacterial SSU rRNA
Rfam family: Bacterial small subunit ribosomal RNA
Source: RNAcentral